Molecule: long non-coding RNA, 5433 nt
Organism: Salmo salar (Atlantic salmon)
Lineage: Eukaryota; Metazoa; Chordata; Actinopteri; Salmoniformes; Salmonidae
Source: RefSeq, a predicted model, not a curated record
UGUGAUUGACUUGGAGUUACAUUGUGUUGUUUAAGUGUUCCCUUUAUUUUUUUGAGCAGUGUGUAUAUAAAAAUAAAUAAAUAAAUAAAUAAAAGUAUUAGCUAGUUGUUCCACGACUUAUUGGGUAAGUUUGUGUCCCUGUUUAUGUCUUUCGGAGAUUUUUUAUUUUUAAAUUUAACUAGGCAAGUCAGUUAAGAACAAAUUCAUAAUUCCAAUGACGGCCAAACCCGGACGACGCUGGGCCAAUCGUGCGCCGCCCUAUGGCCAGAUGUGAUGCAGCCUGGAUUCGAACCAGGUACUACAGUGACGCCUCUUGCACUGAGAUACAGUGUCUUAGAUUCCUGCACCACUCGGGAGCCCAAGACUUACCAUCAUGCCCAUUCAAUGUACAUUUCAACUAUUCUGGGUAGCCCUACUUGAUUGUGCCUUUUGAUUCCUUUCUACUCUGAUUUCAUCCCUGUGCUGUUUUUACAAUAUAUUAUUUAAUUGGCCCAAUAUAUUCCAGUCUGGCCGUGGUUUAUCUAUGUAAUUACAUUGUAUGUACAUUGAUGGGCUGUACUGUAUCAUAUACUAUGAUUCUGUACUAUUGUCUCCUGAACCAAUCUACCAUUGUGUACCAUCACCAAUUCAGACUGGUUUUCUGGUCAGAACAACAUUGGUGCAUUAUACUAUGAUUCUGGACUGAUGUCAUUCAUUUAUUGAGCGAGUUAUCUAAAGCACACAACUGCUACUCAACCAAACAACAGGGGCUGUGAUGCAGCACUGUGAUGCACAACUGAGUUGAGUGAACCUUUUUCACUUUUACUGCUCACUUUUUCAGAGAAAGGCUCAAACACAGAGAUAGCUUUUUGUGUUUUAUUUAACUAGGCAAGUCAGAUUAGAACAAAUUCUUACUUAAAAUGACAGCCUAGGAACAGUGGGCUAAUUGCCUUGUUCAGUGGCAGAACAACAGAUUUUUACCUUGACAGCUCAGGGAUUUGAUCCAGCAACCUUUCAGGUACCUGCCAAAUGCGCUAACCACUGGGCUACCGGCCGCCUGCAGUUUCUAUGUUUUACACGGACAGUUUAAAUAAUUAACCUGGAAUGCUGCAGUACUGCUUAUCUCUAAUAACUAAUGUCUUGCCAGUCAUGUAGUGUGUUUUAUGUUUGUCCUAGAUGUACUGUAAAAGGCCCGGACCCUCCCUGUGCUGUGUAAAUACACAGGUUGGCAUUUUUUGGGAUGACAUGUACUGGAGGCAGCUCUGCAGGGUAGUCACUAGCUGGCACAGCCACAAUGUUAUAAAAUCAGAUUUUAAACCUAACCUUAACCAAACUGCUAACCUUAUGCUUAACCUUAACUUAAGACCAAAAAGUGUAUUUUUGUUUUCAGUAAUUCUUUACAAUGUAUAGCUAAUUUUGACUUUGUUGCUGGCCCAUUAGUAGAAAUCGCUCAGCUCUGCCUCCAGGACAAGAUACAUCCCAAUAAACGUAAACUUCCUGCGCGCAUGUGACCUAAUAGUCAGUAGACUUCUCUUCCACCAGAGAUAAAGGCACUGACUUUGCUCCAUCCUCAUGGGGCUCGGGAUCAGCAAGCUGCACCAGGGAGGCUCUACUCCAACUACCAGCGACAGCAUGGAGAACAUAUUCCUGCUCCAGGCCUCUGUGCUGCUUAAGGCCCUCUCUGUGACCUCGUGUGCAUCACAGCCCUCCUCCUGCCAGUCUCUCCAGCCCUCCAGGCUAACAUCAACCACAUCCUCCCUCUCCCCCACCGCCUCCUCCUCCCUCACCUCUCCACUCCUAAGCACAGAGAACCAAGUCUUAAAGAGGGGUUCACUCCUCUUCACUCAUUCCUCCUCCCUUCCCUCUCCCCUCUCGGCCCUUUGUCCUCUUCAUCCCUGCCACCCUCUAGUGGUGUCCUGCCUCCUACUGGCCUUCCUCCUCCUCCUGUUCUGGAUGAAUAAUGGGAGGAUGAGGAAGGCAGUCUGCCUGUAAGGACGUGCUGUCUUACUCUGAAGAGAUUUGUGUGGUGCCCCAUAAGCCCAUCCCUUUCUUUCAGUCUGUUUUUUGUGGUGUAGUUUGUCCAAGGUCCAUUCCAAUACAGUCAAUCUUUGAAAUAAAAUACAUUUGUGAUGCUCAUUUUAUUGGUUAAGUGAUUCUGAGUCAAUAUGUUUCUCUGACAAUGUAAGUUAAUGGCAGUAUACAGAAUGUGUUCUCCUUCUUCCUCAUGACAUGUCAGGAUUCUGACCAGGACAGCCUCAUGGCUGAGGAGAUUGAGGUGUCCACAGAGAUGCAUGUUCUGGACAUGCUAUUGGAUGAAGAGGAGCUGGACCAAAACAUGUCAAUUGGGGAACAGGAGUUUGGUGAGAGAGAGGGGAAAAGAUGAACUGAAAGACAAAAAGUACAUGAUAAGGCUCUGCCAGAUGGCCUGACUGUAAAUGGAGCAAGGCUUCUGUUUGGCCGAGCCCCGAAACAGAAUGACACUGGAGUUUAUGAAUGUGUUGCGAACAAUGGCGUUGGGACAAGGAAAGUAGAACAUAACAUCACAGUUACAGGUAAGGGGCAAUGGGCAACGUUACUCCUGUAUUUUGCUGAGAUCUGAACAGAAAAACAUGACACUGGUCACAUGCCUUAUUAUUUAUUUUACUGCUGCUCUUUAAUUAUUUGUUACUUCUUUUAUUUAUUUUUGUUAUUUUUCUUAACCCCAUUGUUGGUUAAGGGCUUGUAAGUAAACGUUUCACUGUUGUAUUGGUGCAUGUGAUCAUUAUUAAUUUUUUUAUUAGAUGCCUGAUUAGUAAUAUUGUAACAUUGCUGCCCCCUUGUGAUAAUAAUCUGAAAUACAGAUCUCACUAAAGUUGCAACAAAACUGCAUCCUAUAUACAUGGCACUGCAAUCGCUACCUUUGGUUGUUUGUGUUUACAAUUUUGUGUGCAUUCCCUCUUUCCUUCCCACUCUCUCACUCAGACAUCUCGGAGUGUGCAGGAAGUGAUCUUUGACACUCUAGUGAUGAUCAUUAUAGGUGUGGUUGCUGGGGUGUUGGUCAUGGUCAUUAUCAUCUUUAUCAACUAAUACCAUAGACGCAAUAACAGGACAUUAGAGAUGGAGUUUAUUUCCACAAUACUUGGAACCCCCUUUCCCUAUCCUUAAAUCCUCCUUAGUUUCUAGAAAUCAACACUCUCCAGACAGGCCUCCUCCACAAGACUCAACUCUGUCAGCACAGACCCCAGACGACAGACUGCACAUUACUCAGACUAGACAGUAGAAUGAAAAAAAGCCUAAUGUCCCUUGAGGACCAUCCCAUCUACAAAGCCGUCAAUCCACACUCGGUGGGAGGUGGGGGACGGUUCGAGAGGGUGAUUUGGACUACCUGGGCUGCCCUGUCCUGUACCAGUCUAGCUGGCGACUCUGGCCUUCCUUCCUCGUCCCCAGGACCAGGACGGUAGUGUGUGGCCCACAGACAUCCCCCCCAAUGCUCAGCGACCUGGGUGGCCAGAGGGAGGGUGUGACCGAAGGGGACGACUGGGGCCAGACAGGACGUGCUGGAGGUUGAUGAGGCUGACUGUGACACCAGUUCUUACAAGAUCUCAGAGGCACUCUCCAACCACUUCCACUACAGCAACGGGUUCCUGCGGCCCAAACCACACUCCAAUGCCAUCCUCCUACACCCCAGAGGACAGAACAUCUAGACAGGGGUGAAAGGAGUUGGUUGAAAAGGGAACUGCCCUCAGCUCCACCCUAACCCAAUGGUCAUGGAGGCCUGCUACUCACUCCUGUGAACUGAACUUGGAUACAAUUGGACUGAAGUGAGUGUUUGGCAACCUCAUGUUCACAUUCAUUUACAUUUUUAGGUUGACUUUGUCCUUUUUUUACAUCAGCAUGGGCUUCUUGUAUACAGUGCCUUCAGAAAGUAUUCACACCCCUUGAUUUGUGGUGUUACAGCGUUAUUACAAAUUGAUUAAAUGUAGAUUUUUUUGGUCACUGGCCUACAGACAAUAUCCCAUGUCAAAGUAGAAUUAUGUUUUUUGAUAAAAAAACAUUUUAUAAUGAAAAGCUUAAAUGUCUUGAGUGAAAAAGUUUUCAACCCCUUGGUAUGGCGAGCCUAAAUAAGUUCAGGACAAAAAAUCUGCUUAACAAGUCACAUACGUUGCAUGGACUCUGUGUGUAACACUGUGGUUUUUGAAUGACUACCUCAUGCCUGUACCCCACACAAUUAUAUGUAAGGUGCCUCAGUCGAGCAGUGAAUUUCAAACACAGAUUCAACCACAAAUACCAGGGAGAUUUCCGAAUGCCUCUCAAAGAAGGGCAUAAAUAUAAAAUAUUUUGUCUUGUUCAUUCACCCUCUAAAUAGGGUCACCCUCUCAAGGCUUUAAAAUCCUUCUUUAGCCUGUCUCUUUAACAACUGACAUCAAUAAGGGAUCAUAGCUUUCAUCUGUAUUCACCUGGUCAGUCUGUCAUGUUCUAUAGUUGCCAUGGUUCCCUAGCUUCACCAUUCCAGGUGAAGCUGGUUGAGAGAAUGCCAAGAGUGUGCAAAGCUGUCAAGGCAAAGGGUGGCUAAUUUGAUGAAUCUCAAAUAUAAAACAUUUGGAUUUAACACUUUUUUGGUUACUGAUUCCAUAUGUGUUAUUUCAUAGUUUUGAUGUUUCAUUAUUAUUCUACAAUGUAGAAAAUAGUAAACCCUGGAAUGAGUAGGCGUGUCCAAACUUUUGACUGGUACUGUAUAUCUAGUGUUUUAGAGCCACGAAUUUGCAGAUUUACUGAGAGGUUAACCGUCUUUGGCUUGGCUAACUAGCUAGCUGGCUAAUAUUUUUGUUUGAAAAAUGCAUCUGGACACAUUACCAGCUUUUUUCUUUCUCCUGGCUGCCAAUUCCCGAUCUUCUGAGAACAAUUUUUAGGAGUCGCCUGAAGCGUGAGAGGAAUGGGAUAUGCAGGAAUAUAGUAGUGCUAAGACAGAGCGCUCGUAGUGAGGACGACUGGCUACUAUUCUGAACUUUGUGUGGUGAACUUUCUGGUGUCCAGAGCUGCUGAGGCAUCACCCAAGUGGGUGCUACACAGACUGGAAGAGAAGAAGACCAGUGGAUAUAAGAGUCUGGCUGGUUCCCAGACGUGCCCUCUACAAGAUCAUCAACAGACUCCAUCACCAUCCUCUGACCAGCUCUCUCCGCUCAAGCCAUGAACUGACCCUCUCCAUCUUCAGAGGAUGCAGCUUUCAAAGACUUGGCCUCUAUUGGUUCACUUGUCAUGAUAUAUUGCGUGGUUUUUUUGUUGCUCUUGAAGCACAGAGAUUCUAUGAAAAGCGCUAUAGAAAUGUUAUAAAUUAUUAUUAUGGAAAGAGCAGGUGUUAAUGUUCUGUAUUCUCAGUGUAUUUCAACAACAACAACAAGGGCUGAAAGUUCAGAGAAUUUUCAUGUUUAUUCAUAAUAAUGUAUGCAUUGAUAAAAGCACGUCCAUUGUAUUUUC